CAGCCUCCGGCCACUCGCGUCCAUCCUACGCCGCUGCACGCGGCAGAAGGGAGGCCCACACGUGAGACUUGUGUGUCGCCCAUGUCCGCAGACCAAAUCGAUUGUGCCUGAUUAGUCGCCCCACGCCUCGCGGUCAUUCGCAGCCACAGCGCCGUCGUCGGCCUCCUCAGAGCCGGCCCUUCGAUUCAAUCCCUUGGCCCUCCUCCCCUGUUGGCCGUGAAGAAGGCUCCAUGCCGUCGGCGCGGAGAAAACGGCGGCGGAUUCGUCGCCGGCGGCAAAUGCUGCCACUACGCGUAGCAGGAGGGAGGUCAACAUGGAAGAUAUACGCAUCCUCCUUGACCGCGGGCCAUAUUGUCUCCGCCUGAUUCAUCGUACCUGGCCUCGCGGUCGUUCGCCUCCUCCAUCUCGCGGUCAGUCGCCUCAUCCACCUCACAGUCGCUCGCCUCCUCCAUCUCGCAGUCGCAGCGCCGUUGCUGGCCUCCUCCGACCCAAGCCCGUUCCUCUUUGUUGGCUCUGUUCCCGAUCCUUCCUAUGCAACCUUGGGCAGCCGUGUACCUGUCCUCCCCUCUCCCCUUUAUCCUCCUGCAACGAUGGCCUCACAUCCAUUUUGAUUGAGGUGCUUCGCUUCUGAAUGCAGAUUUAGCAUCACCUCGCUACCUCACCCUCCUGGUCUUCCUUGAAUGGGUCACCGCCAUCAUCAAUUGAUGUUGGCUAAAGGUGACAGGGGGGAUAUUUAUCAAUUAAAUACACAAUGAAACGAUCUGCCACAUUGUCUUCUUUGUCUGAAGUUUUAAGGUAAUGUUGUGGAACAAUUUGUCAUUGUGUGUGGUAUUAGUGGGAUAGCAGGAGAAAAUUCUGAAUAUCUAACUUGAUAGGGUUACAUGGAAAAUUGAUACAUCAGCCUUUUUUCGGUAGAAACAUACUGAUAUAACUAUAUAUAUAUAUAGCACCUUGCAUUAAGAUUGAAGAUGUGCUAAAAUUGGAGCUAGCUAGGUAUAUGUAGAUUCAACAUGCUCUCAUGUUAGUCAAUUUCUAAUACUAAUAAGUUUUGAUUACAGGUCAUGGCAUUGUAGGGCUCUGUUUCCUUUUGUACUUGUGGGCCUGAGAGUUUUCUUAUUUUGUUAUGAAAGAAAUCAAACAUAAAUAAUAUAAUGUUAGACUGUUAGUGAUGAGGAAAAUGAAUUGGCAAGCAAGAGUGAUAUGGUUGAUGUGAAAAGAUUGGCUUGAAAAUUUACUAUUAUGUGUCCUUCAGACCUUUUAAUUGUACAUAAAAGAAAAAAGUGUAUCCAUCUUGCUUUGUGUCUAUUUCUUUUAUGGAAGCUCUAACAUGUUUUCCCUCAACCCAUGUUAUGCACUCCUAAGGUAUUCUAAUACAUGUGUAAUUACCUUCGCUGAUGAUCGAUUACCCAUUUGUAAUUUUAGCUAACUAAGAAUUAUGCAAUCACUAUGUUCCACAGAUUUUAUUCUUAUUUCGCUUCAUGUCUUUUGUUUUAUGCUAUUACUAUGUUUAUUUUGAUUCCUCUAUUUUCCAGGUUACGGAUGAAUGCAAAAGAAUUACUCCCUAUGCCUUCUAUUCUUGACAAAGAUGAAUGCUCCGCUAGAGAGAUUUGUUGUCAGGAUAUCCUUCAAUAUGCAUGAUAUUCCUUCCUGGCCUUUAUUUCUUGAUUGUUAGUAAAAACCUAUUGAUUUCCAGAGAUAUUGAUGUGUACCAUUUUCCCUUUAUGUUUUUAAGAGCCUUGCUCUAUAUCUCCGACCUUUGUAGUAAGCACAUGUUUUUACUUGAGUCUCCACUUUUAAUUAUGUUAGAAUAGAUGCAGAUGGCCUCCCCUUUUGCUAAUAAAUCCUCUUUUGCAAGUACAUCAAUUGUGACUUGGUGAUGCAGGCACCAAAUCAUUUCAUUUCCUGAUGAUGAUAAGUCAAUUAUGGCUUGGUGAUGCAGGCACCAAAUCAUGUAAUUUCCCGAUGAUGAGAAGUUAAAUGCAUGUAUUUUGGGACCUCAUGAGAACAAGGUCUUUGACAACAAAGCAUCCUUUGAUUGUACAUGUAUCUUCGUCAAGAUGAGAUAACACUACUGUUGUUUCUCUCUCUCUAGCUGAGUGUUGUAAAGUUUAAUUAUAUUUUCUGUUCAAGUCAAUCGUAUUAUAUAGCUGAGUUGUAUACAUGUACUGAUAUAUUCAAUAGAGCAUAUUGUAUAUAACUGACUUUUCUGCAUAUACAUUUUAAUUAUUAAAUAUGUUCUAACGAA
Molecule: long non-coding RNA, 2245 nt
Organism: Panicum virgatum (switchgrass)
Lineage: Eukaryota; Viridiplantae; Streptophyta; Magnoliopsida; Poales; Poaceae
Exons: 3
Source: RefSeq, a predicted model, not a curated record